Molecule: ribosomal RNA, 546 nt
Filed under: uncultured yeast
Lineage: Eukaryota; Fungi
Description: eukaryotic LSU rRNA
Rfam family: Eukaryotic large subunit ribosomal RNA
Source: RNAcentral
CAUAUCAAUAAGCGGAGGAAAAGAAACCAACAGGGAUUGCCUCAGUAACGGCGAGUGAAGCGGCAAAAGCUCAAAUUUGAAACCCUCGGGAUUGUAAUUUGAAGAUUUGGCAUUGGAGAAAGCUAACCCAAGUUGCUUGGAAUAGUACGUCAUAGAGGGUGACAACCCCGUCUGGCUAACCGUUCUCCAUGUAUUGCCUUAUCAAAGAGUCGAGUUGUUUGGGAAUGCAGCUCAAAGUGGGUGGUAAACUCCAUCUAAAGCUAAAUACUGGUGAGAGACCGAUAGCGAACAAGUACUGUGAAGGAAAGGUGAAAAGAACUUUGAAAAGAGAGUGAAAUAGUAUGUGAAAUUGUUGAUAGGGAAGGAAAUGAGUGGAGAGUGGCCGAGGUUUCAGCCGCCCCUCGUGGGCGGUGUACUGCCGACGCCGAGUCAUCGAUAGCGAGACGAGGGUUACAAAUGGGAGCGCCUUCGGGCGUUCUCCCCUAACCCUCCACACUGCCACCGACGACAUAAUCCACCCAUUUCACCCGUCUUGAAACACGGACC